This 497-nucleotide ribosomal RNA is filed under the name uncultured bacterium. RNAcentral describes it as "partial 16S ribosomal RNA". It matches the Rfam family "Bacterial small subunit ribosomal RNA", at positions 28 to 507 of the family's 1533-position model. The record is from RNAcentral.
GACGAACGCUGGCGGCGUGCCUAAUACAUGCAAGUUGAGCGCUGAAGGUUGGUACUUGUACCGACUGGAUGAGCAGCGAACGGGUGAGUAACGCGUGGGGAAUCUGCCUUUGAGCGGGGGACAACAUUUGGAAACGAAUGCUAAUACCGCAUAAAAACUUUAAACACAAGUUUUAAGUUUGAAAGAUGCAAUUGCAUCACUCAAAGAUGAUCCCGCGUUGUAUUAGCUAGUCGGUGAGGUAAAGGCUCACCAAGGCGAUGAUACAUAGCCGACCUGAGAGGGUGAUCGGCCACAUUGGGACUGAGACACGGCCCAAACUCCUACGGGAGGCAGCAGUAGGGAAUCUUCGGCAAUGGACGAAAGUCUGACCGAGCAACGCCGCGUGAGUGAAGAAGGUUUUCGGAUCGUAAAACUCGGUUGGUAGAGAAGAACGUUGGUGAGAGUGGAAAGCUCAUCAAGUGACGGUAACUACCCAGAAAGGGACGGCUAACUACGUG